GGAAACGUGGUAAAGGGGCGGUUUCCAGCAGGCUGGUGACAGUUGAAAGAGGAUUCCGAUAUUUGGUAAGAGGAGAGGGAGAGUGAAAAUAUUAAAAUGUACUUGUUUAACUGAGAUAUAAUCCUUCCUAUCUUGGCAAUAACUUAUGAUACUGGGUGAAUGAACUGAUAUUUAAUAAAGAGACAGAUUUUCAGUAUUCUUCUUUUGGCACUGGAGUAUCAUUAGAAUGAACUUCCAAAUGAACCAGCUUAAUCCCAGAGCUAGCCGUUCAAGAAGAAGGCGAAGAGAAAGCACUUGCUUUGGGGUUGAAAUUGAGGAUUCAAGAAGAAAUACAACUUUAUUCCUGGAAGGAUGGGGGAAAGAGAACUCAGAGAAGCUCAGUUGUGGGUCCUUCUAGUUGUGGCAUAUGGGACACCACCUCAGCAUGGCCUGAUGAGUGGUGCCAUGUCCGUGCCCAGGAUCUGAACAAGCGAAACGCUGGGCCGCUGAAGUGGAGCGCAUGAACUUAACCACUCGGUCGCGGGGCUGGCCCCCGUAGUUUGUAAUGUAACCCUUUUUCUACUCUAAAAGUUCAAAAAAGUGUAUUUUGAAAAUAUGUGUUUCCACUUCCAUGAGAAGCAGAUUAACAUGGUGAAAUGAGACCAGGGAUCAUGCAUUCUCUGAGUGUAGGACCAAGUCAUCAUUUUGUCUUCUGAGAUGUUAUGUGACUUUGGGCAGGUGCUGCCUACGUCAGAGCCUAUCAGAAAUAGUCUUAACAGCCAGUUGGAGGCAGCAGAGCAUAGCUGUAAAUACCAUGGACUCCAAAGUCAGACUGCCUGCCUUGAAAUCCUGGCUCUGCCACUUACACAUAAAAGUGUAACUUUGGAAAACUCACUUCUUUGUCUUUCGGUUUCCUCAUUUGUAUAAUGUAGAUGAUAUUAGUACCUCACAGGGAACCAGAUUUGCUGUGUCCAAAGCCCUCGCUUUUUCCAUUACAUCAUGCU
RNAcentral lists this long non-coding RNA (983 nucleotides) under Equus caballus (horse). Its description in RNAcentral is "lncRNA (ENSECAG00000048768.1)". The record is from RNAcentral. Lineage: Eukaryota; Metazoa; Chordata; Mammalia; Perissodactyla; Equidae.